UGUGAGGCAUGCUGGAGGUAUCAGAAGUGCGAAUGCUGACAUAAGUAACGAUAAAGCGGGUGAAAAGCCCGCUCGCCGGAAGACCAAGGGUUCCUGUCCAACGUUAAUCGGGGCAGGGUGAGUCGACCCCUAAGGCGAGGCCGAAAGGCGUAGUCGAUGGGAAACAGGUUAAUAUUCCUGUACUUGGUGUUACUGCGAAGGGGGGACGGAGAAGGCUAUGUCAGCCGGGCGACGGUUGUCCCGGUUUAAGCAUGUAGGCGGAGGUUCCAGGUAAAUCCGGUACCUUAUUAACGCUGAGGUGUGAUGACGAGGCACUACGGUGCUGAAGUGAUAAAUGCCCUGCUUCCAGGAAAAGCCUCUAAGCAUCAGGUAACACGAAAUCGUACCCCAAACCGACACAGGUGGUCAGGUAGAGAAUACCAAGGCGCUUGAGAGAACUCGGGUGAAGGAACUAGGCAAAAUGGUGCCGUAACUUCGGGAGAAGGCACGCUGAUAUGUAGGUGAAGUCCCUGCGGACGGAGCUGAAAUCAGUCGAAGAUACCAGCUGGCUGCAACUGUUUAUUAAAAACACAGCACUGUGCAAACACGAAAGUGGACGUAUACGGUGUGACGCCUGCCCGGUGCCGGAAGGUUAAUUGAUGGGGUCAGCGGCAACGCGAAGCUCUUGAUCGAAGCCCCGGUAAACGGCGGCC
RNAcentral lists this ribosomal RNA (692 nucleotides) under Streptococcus suis. RNAcentral describes it as "partial 23S ribosomal RNA". It matches the Rfam family "Bacterial large subunit ribosomal RNA", at positions 1262 to 1935 of the family's 2925-position model. Lineage: Bacteria; Bacillati; Bacillota; Bacilli; Lactobacillales; Streptococcaceae. The record is from RNAcentral.